This 253-nucleotide ribosomal RNA is filed under the name uncultured bacterium. RNAcentral describes it as "partial 16S ribosomal RNA". It matches the Rfam family "Bacterial small subunit ribosomal RNA", at positions 524 to 776 of the family's 1533-position model. The record is from RNAcentral.
UACGGUGGAUGCAAGCGUUAUCCGGAAUGAUUGGGCGUAAAGCGUCCGCAGGUGGUUGUGAAAGUCUGCUGUUAAAGCGUCAGGCUUAACCUGAUAAAGGCAGUGGAAACUAUGCGACUAGAGUGCGUUAGGGGCAGAGGGAAUUCCCAGUGUAGCGGUGAAAUGCGUAGAGAUUGGGAAGAACACCGGUGGCGAAGGCGCUCUGCUAGGCCGCAACUGACACUGAGGGACGAAAGCUAGGGGAGCGAAUGGG